This 653-nucleotide long non-coding RNA is filed under the name Cricetulus griseus (Chinese hamster). RNAcentral's name for it is "lncRNA (ENSCGRG00015041129.1)". Lineage: Eukaryota; Metazoa; Chordata; Mammalia; Rodentia; Cricetidae. The record is from RNAcentral.
UAUGCUGCACGAAGCGACAUGGGUGCUGAGUACUGGUUCGACAGGUGCCAAGGGCUCCUGAGAGGCUGUUUCUCUGGAAGAAGGGCCGGCUGGCUUGGGGAUCAGCGGCUGUAUGAAAGAGGUCCAAGAGCGCUCCCAUCCCUUCCAGUGAGAACCAUGGAUGAAGAAUGUCAACAGUGAAGUGGGGAGCAGACACUAGGAUGAAACCCCCACAACCUCGGCGUUGGACUUCCUGGCCUCCAGAACUUGUAUCUGUGUUAAUUCACAGGAAGAGGAUGAAGUUCUAUUGUGUUGACACAGGAGGUUCAACAGCACUGGGAACAGUCCCUGGUGCCAUCCUGGUAUUUGUGUGUGCAGCAGAAAGCCGGAAGUGGUUCCACCUGAUCCCCUCUGUCCCACAUCUCCCCUGUGGGAGGGGUCAUUGCUCAGUGAGGGGGGAAAGCCAGUGGGUGGAAGAUGUGAGCCACUGACUUCAUCACACGUGGUGUGGUCCCUCCUAAGUAGAACCUAGAUCUCCUGCACUUCCUCAGCCCAUGCACCAUUACCCACAUCUUACUGCAUGUGUAAACCCUUCCCCAACAUCUUUGGACACACCUCUGGAAACAGACUCCGAUCUGGAAGCUGAGUGGCUUGCCCAAGAAAGUGAGAUGGGA